Molecule: long non-coding RNA, 5070 nt
Filed under: Solanum tuberosum (potato)
Lineage: Eukaryota; Viridiplantae; Streptophyta; Magnoliopsida; Solanales; Solanaceae
Description: long non-coding RNA (STUB_LNC010228)
Source: RNAcentral
UUGAAAUUAAGUGGUUGCAAAAGGUGCAAAGAAAUUCCAUCGUUUGGCCAACUGAAGUUCCUUCGGUAUCUUGAGCUGAUAGGAUUCCUUGAAUUGGAAUGCAUCGGACCUACAUUUUAUGGUGUUGAGAUUAAUGGCAAUAUCCAAGUGUUCCUCUCAUUGAAAGAACUUGUAUUGGAGGAUAUGCGUAGCCUUAUUGAGUGGAAGGGAGAUGAAGUUGGAGAAAGACUGUUUCCCACGCUUGAGAAGUUGAGGAUUACAAAGUGUCCACUGUUAAAAAGUACUCCAACUCAAUUUGAAAUCCUGCGUGAAUUAAGAAUUGAAGGAGUUGACAGUGAAAUGCCAUUGUUGAACUUGUGGAGCAACUUGACAUCUCUUGUGAAUCUUUUUGUCAGUAACGUGAAAGAGCUCACUUGUCUACCAGAUGAGAUGCUACUGUUGAAAAGUGAUUCAUAUACUUGACCAAGUCUUCAGGAGUUUGUUAGUUAGUUUCCUUUAUCUUAGCAUGUUUAGAUAUUGUGGCAGAUUAGUAGCUAAUUAGUAGUUAGUGGUUUAGUGGACCUAGAUUUUAGUAUUUUCUGUUUUACAGUAAGCCUAUUUAUAGGCAGACUUGUUGCUUCCAUUAUAAAUUAGAAACAAAACUUUGCAGUAGCUUUUACUUCUGUUUUUUGCUAUAUUUUUCUGUUCACUUUCUCCUUUACUUCCUUUUUUCUUUCCAACAAAUCUGGUAUCAAGAGCAAGGUUCCUUUCUGGAAAGUGUGAGGAAAAAUGGCAGUAAAUGGUAUUUCAUCAUCUUCCCAACAACUCAUGCCAAUUUUUACUGGUGAAAAGUAUGAGUUUUGGAGUAUCAAAAUGAAAACUCUUUUCAAAUCACAAGGAGUUUGGGAUUUGGUUGAAGCAGGCUUCGUGGAGCAAUCAGACUCUGACGAAGAGACGGAAAAAUUGAAAGAGAUAAAAAAGAAGGAUGCGAAAGCACUAUUCCUGAUUCAACAAGCAGUCCACGAUACAAUUUUUUCAAGAAUUGCAGCAGCAACUACAUCUUCGCAGGCAUGGAAGAUUUUGAAGAAGGAAUUUCAAGGUUCAGCUAAGGUGAUUACGGUAAAAUUACAGACUUACCGUCGUGACUUUGAAACUCUUUCUAUGAAAAGUAAUGAAUCUGUUCAAACUUAUUUGUCUAGAGUUUCUUCUCUUGUUAAUCAAAUGAAGCCUUAUGGUGAAAUCAUAUCUGAAGAAACGGUUGUAGCAAAAGUUUUAAGGAGUCUUACUUCAAAGUUUGAACAUAUUGUUGUUGCGAUUGAGGAAUCUCAUGACUUAUCUGAGUAUACUUUUGAUGAACUAAUGAGUUCUUUGCAAGCUCAUGAAGAGAGGCUCCUAAGAUCGCAUGAAAAAAAUGAAGAGAAGGUAUUCCAGGUGAAGGGGGAGUCCAUUCAUCAGAAAGAUAAGCUAGAAAUCUUUGCAAAUCGUGGAAGAGGCAGAGGUGGUUUUCGAGGAAGAGGCCGUGGAAGAGGCCAAGGAAGAAAUCGAGAUAGAGGAGGAUCAAAUGAAGAGAAGCAGGCUAAGACGUUUCUGUGCAACUACUGCAGAAAAUCAGGUCAUAAAGAAGCUUAUUGUUGGCAAAAACAGAGGGAUGAGAAUAACCAAGCAAGCUUUGUAGAGGAAAAUGAUGAUGACAGUAAGUUGUUCAUGGCCCUUUAUUGUGAAAAAGAAACUCCUAACGAUUUUUGGUUCUUGGACAGUGGUUGUUCCAAUCAUAUGUCUGGAACAAGAUCAUUGUUCAAGGAGCUCGAUGAGUCAAAAAAAUCAGAUGUAAGGCUAGGAGACAACAAGAAGAUUCAGGUUGAAGGUAGAGGUACAGUUAGCAUUAUGACCAGCCAAGGUAAUGCUAAGAUUUUAGAAGAUGUGAUGUUUGUUCCUAGUCUAUCUCAUAAUUUGCUUAGCAUUGGACAACUAAUGAUUAGCGGAUACUCAAUUUUCUUUGACGAUGGUGUUUGCACUAUUAAAAAUAAGAAAAUCUGAGAAAAUCAUUGCUAAAAGUUCCAAUGGCUAACAAUAAAAUGUUUCCUCUAGACGUUUCAAUGGUUGAGAGGUGUGCUAUGGUAGCUAGUGGAGAUAAUGAAACUAGACUAUGGCAUUUACGUUAUGGGGUCAUUUAAACGUUAAUGGAUUGAAGUUAUUGAGUCAAAAGGAAAUGGUUUUUGGUUGCCAAAAGUUGAGAAUCUUGAUUUUUGUGAAAGUUGUGUUUAUGGGAAAUAAAGUAAAAAAUGUUUUCCUAUAAGCAAGUCUUGGAGAGCUUCUGUUUGUCUUGAGUUAGUACAUGCUGAUUUGUGUGGUCCUAUGAGUGUUGAGUCUUUAGGGGGAAGUCGAUACUUUCUGCUUUUUACUGAUGAUUAUAGUCGUAUGAGUUGGAUAUAUUUCUUGAAAUUUAAAUCUGAAACUUUUGACAAUUUCAAGAAAUUUAAAUCUUUUGUUGAGAGACAAAGUGGAUGUAGACUCAAAACACUUCGAACAGAUAGAGGUGGUGAGUUUAUGUCAAAAGAAUUCAGUUCCUUUUGUGAGGAAAAUGGAAUACACAGAGAACUCACAGCACCUUAUACACCAGAGCAAAAUGGUGUAGCAGAACGAAAGAACCGCACAGUUGUCGAGAUGGGCAGAAGCAUGAUGGAAGGUAGAGGUGUACUGAAGUGUUUUUGGGCUGAAGCUGUUGCCACUGCUGUCUAUUUGCUGAAUAUUUCUCCUACUAAGGCAGUGUUUAAUCAAACACCAUAUGAAGCUUGGAGAGGUAACAAGCCCAAGGUAAGCCACUUACGUGUCUUUGGUUGUAUAGCUUAUGCCUUGAUAAAUUCACAAGCUCGACGUAAGCUUGAUGAAAAAUGUGAAAAAUGUAUUUUUGUUGGAUAUAGCACACAAUCCAAGGCUUAUAAGUUAUAUAAUCCAGUGAGUGGUAAGAUUACGGUCAAUAGAAAUGUUGUGUUUAAUGAAGAUGCAAGUUGGAAUUUUAAUUCCACAAAUGAAAGUUCAAACAUUAAGUUGUUGCCUUCUGACGAUAUUAUUGAUCAAGAGUAUGUAGCUGAUCCUUUUUUGGCUGGUCCAUCGUCUACCUCAUCAAUUGCACCAACAACUUCUCCAAUAUUGGAAAAACCUUCCGCUGAGCCAAUUCCAUUAAAAAGAUCAACAAGAGAUAGGAAACAAAAUCCUAGAUAUGCUAACAAUACAUCUUGUACCUUUGCUUUACUUGUUUUAGAUCCUAUCCUCUUUGAAGAUGCUGAAAAAGAGGAUAAAUGGUGCAAGGCUAUGGAAGAAGAGUUGAUGGCUAUUCAAAAGAAUCAGACAUGGGACUUGGUAAAUUUGCCUGAAGGAAAGAAAGCUAUUGGGCUCAAAUGGGUGUUUAGAACCAACUAUCAUGCUGAUGGCAGCAUCUAAAAACAUAAGGCAAGGCUCGUCGCAAAAGGUUAUUCCCAGCAACAAGGUAUUGACUUUGAAGAAACUUUUUCUCCUGUUGCUCGCUUUGAAACUGUGAGAACUUUUUUAGCCUUGGCUGCUAAUUUAAGUUGGCCAGUUUACCAAUUCGAUGUUAAAUCUGCCUUUUUAAAUGGUGAUUUGGAAGAGAAAGUCUAUGUCUCACAACCUGAAGGUUUUGUAGUAAAUGGCAAAGAAGAUAAUGUCUAUAGGUUAAAAAAGGCACUUUAUGGCUUAAAGCAAGCGCCGCGGGCAUGGUACUUCAAGAUUGAUUCAUAUUUCCAUGAGAAUGGUUUUGAAAGGAGUAACAAUGAACCUACUCUUUAUGUAAAACGAGAAGGUAAAAAUGAUUUUUUGGUCGUAUGUCUUUACGUUGAUGAUAUGAUAUAUAUGGGUUCGAAUGAGUCUAUGAUCACUGAUUUUAAGGACUGCAUGAUGAAGAAUUUUGAGAUGUCUGAUUUGGGUCUACUACAUUAUUUUCUUGGUCUUGAGGUGAAACAGGGAAUCGAAGGCAUAUUUCUUUCACAAAGAAAAUAUGCGACAGAUCUUUUGAAAAAGUUUACUAUGGUAAAUUAUAAAGUUGCUGUUACGCCGAUGAAUAUUAAUGAAAAGUUGUGUCGUGAUGAUGGUUCUGAAAUGGCAAAUGCAACUUAUUUUAGAAGUCUGGUUGGUGGUUUGAAUUACUUGUCUCAUACAAGACCAGAUAUUGCUUUCUCUGUUGGCGUUAUAUCGAGAUUUAUGCACAAUCCAAGCAAGCUUUCACCUUGGAGCUGCAAAGAGAGUACUAAGAUAUAUUGCUGGGACAACAAAGCAAUGGAAAUUUGGUAUUCUAAGGUAACAAAUUUCACAUUAACUGGCUUUACUGAUAGUGACUACGCAGGCAGCAUUGAUGAUCGAAAGAGCACAUCUGGUUUCUUGUUUAAUCUUGGGUCUGGAGCAGUUUCAUGGAGUUCAAAGAAGCAGGAAGUGGUCGCUUUAUCAACUUCAGAGGCUGAAUAUAUUGCAGCAACCUCUGCAGCUUGUCAAGCAGUUUGGUUAAGGAGACUUGUUGCAGAUUUUAACCAGAAACCGACUGGUGCAACUGAGAUUUUUUGUGACAAUAUAUCUGCUAUUGCGAUGACGAAGAAGCCAGCAUUUCACAGCAGAACAAAGCACAUUGGUAUUCGCUAUCACUAUAUUAGAGGUCUUGUUUCUACAGGAGAAAUUACUUUGAAGUCUUGUGAUACAAAUGAGCAAGCAGCAGACAUCUUCACGAAGUCACUUCCGCAAGCAAAGCACGAGUUCUUCAAAGGUCAACUUGGAGUUUGCUGUUUUGAAUCAAGGGGGAGUGUUGAAAAGUGAUUCAUAUACUUGACCAAGUCUUCAGGAGUUUGUUAGUUAGUUUCCUUUAUCUUAGCAUGUUUAGAUAUUGUGGCAGAUUAGUAGCUAAUUAGUAGUUAGUGGUUUAGUGGACCUAGAUUUUAGUAUUUUCUGUUUUACAGUAAGCCUAUUUAUAGGCAGACUUGUUGCUUCCAUUAUCUAUCAGAAACAAAAUCCUUGCAGUAGCUUUUUACUUCUGUCUUUGCUCUAUUUUUCUGUUCACUUUCUCCUUUACUUCCUUUUUCUUUCCAACAG